UUAGAGUUUGAUCCUGGCUUAGAACUAACGCUGGCAGUGCGUCUUAAGCAUGCAAGUCAAACGGGAUGUAGCAAUACAUCUAGUGGCGAACGGGUGAGUAACGCGUGGAUGAUCUACCUACGAGAUGGGGAUAACUAUUAGAAAUAGUAGCUAAUACCGAAUAAAGUCAAUUAAUUUGUUAAUUGAUGAAAGGAAGCCUCUAAAGCUUCGCUUGUAGAUGAGUCUGCGUCUUAUUAGCUAGUUGGUAGGGUAAAUGCCUACCAAGGCGAUGAUAAGUAACCGGCCUGAGAGGGUGAACGGUCACACUGGAACUGAGAUACGGUCCAGACUCCUACGGGAGGCAGCAGCUAAGAAUCUUCCGCAAUGGGCGAAAGCCUGACGGAGCGACACUGCGUGAAUGAAGAAGGUCGAAAGAUUGUAAAAUUCUUUUAUAAAUGAGGAAUAAGCUUUGUAGGAAAUGACAAAGUGAUGACGUUAAUUUAUGAAUAAGCCCCGGCUAAUUACGUGCCAGCAGCCGCGGUAAUACGUAAGG
RNAcentral lists this ribosomal RNA (532 nucleotides) under Borreliella garinii. Its description in RNAcentral is "bacterial SSU rRNA". It matches the Rfam family "Bacterial small subunit ribosomal RNA", at positions 1 to 532 of the family's 1533-position model. The record is from RNAcentral. Lineage: Bacteria; Pseudomonadati; Spirochaetota; Spirochaetia; Spirochaetales; Borreliaceae.